GUUCUAGGCUUUAUUAUGUCGUCCUUUAUGUUUCCCUCCCAAAUUACACUGAAACAAUUCUAGCAUUCUGGUGGUCUGUUUGUGUUAAAGUAAUUUUUAUGAGAAUUUAGUAGAACUUGCCAUUAGAGUUUGAUGAAUUCAUAUGAUAUUUGGUAGUCAACAUUCAGCAGUGGCCUAAUCAAACAAAUUUUAUUAUCAUUGAGAGGCAACUUCUUUGUCUUCUCUGAGUAAAUGAGUUGUAUACCAUAGUGUGGUGAAAAUGUUAUAUUUGGAAGAGGUAGACAUUUAGGAAGCUAGUGGAUGGAUAGCAAGAACUGUUAUAGAGGCUGAGGUGCAGAUAAGGUUUGAUUGUAAAUGAGUUGUAUACCAUAGUGUGGUGAAAAUGUUAUAUUUGGAAGAGGUAGACAUUUAGGAAGCUAGUGGAUGGAUAGCAAGAACUGUUA
This 443-nucleotide unclassified non-coding RNA is filed under the name Hevea brasiliensis (rubber tree). The record is from RNAcentral. Lineage: Eukaryota; Viridiplantae; Streptophyta; Magnoliopsida; Malpighiales; Euphorbiaceae.